GCUCCAGUGGCCUAGAGGUUAGAGCGUCAGCCUUGGAUAUUGGAGAUCGCAGGUUCAAACCCCGGCCGAGUCA
Non-coding RNA from Potamilus streckersoni, 73 nucleotides. NCBI's taxonomy places the organism in Eukaryota, Metazoa, Mollusca, Bivalvia, Unionida, Unionidae. The record is from the annotation of a GenBank genome assembly.